AAUUGGAGGGCAAGUCUGGUGCCAGCAGCCGCGGUAAUUCCAGCUCCAAUAGCGUAUAUUAAAGUUGUUGCAGUUAAAAAGCUCGUAGUUGAACUUCGGGAUCAAUAUUUCGGUCAUGCCGUUGGUAUGCACUGUUAUCAUUGAUUUCUCACCUUCUAAAGAACCGUAAUGCCAUUAAUUUGGUGUUACGGGGAAUUAGGACUGUUACCUUGAAAAAAUUAGAGUGUUUAAAGCAGGCUCACGCUUGAAUACAUUAGCAUGGAAUAAUGAAAUAGGACAUCCGAUUCUAUUUUGUUGGUUUCUAGGAUCGAUGUAAUGAUUAAUAGGGAUAGUUGGGGGCAUUAGUAUUCAAUUGUCAGAGGUGAAAUUCUUGGAUUUAUUGAAGACUAACUACUGCGAAAGCAUUUGCCAAGGAUGUUUUCAUUAAUCAAGAACGAAAGUUAGGGGAUCGAAGACGAUCAGAUACCGUCGUAGUCUUAACCAUAAACUAUGCCGACUAGGGAUCGGAUGAUGUUAAUUUUUUAAUGACUCAUUCGGCGCCUUACGGGAAACCAAAGUGU
RNAcentral lists this ribosomal RNA (560 nucleotides) under uncultured Glomus. RNAcentral describes it as "SSU rRNA". It matches the Rfam family "Eukaryotic small subunit ribosomal RNA", at positions 546 to 1106 of the family's 1831-position model. Lineage: Eukaryota; Fungi; Glomeromycota; Glomeromycetes; Glomerales; Glomeraceae. The record is from RNAcentral.